RNAcentral lists this ribosomal RNA (1418 nucleotides) under human gut metagenome. RNAcentral's name for it is "bacterial LSU rRNA". It matches the Rfam family "Bacterial large subunit ribosomal RNA", at positions 1069 to 2495 of the family's 2925-position model. The record is from RNAcentral.
AAGGAUGUGGGGAUGCACAGACAACUAGGAGGUUGGCUCAGAAGCAGCCAUCCUUUAAAGAGUGCGUAACAGCUCACUAGUCGAAUGACUCUGCGCCGAUAAUUUACCGGGGCUAAGUAUAUUACCGAAGCUAUGGAUUUACGCGUAAGCGUGAGUGGUAGGGGAGCGUUCUAUGUGCGGAGAAGCGGUACCGUAAGGAGCCGUGGAGCGCAUAGAAGAGAGAAUGCCGGUGUGAGUAGCGAAACGUGGGUGAGAAUCCCACGCACCGAAAACCCAAGGUUUCCAGAGGAAGGUUCGUCCGCUCUGGGUAAGUCGGGACCUAAGGCGAGGCCGAGAGGCGUAGUCGAUGGACAACAGGUAGAGAUUCCUGUACUUACGGUAUGAAUGAUGGAGUGACGGAGAAGGCUAGCGGAUCCUGCUGAUGGAAAUGCAGGUGCAAGCGAGGUAGCCGACAGCCAGGCAAAUCCGGCUGUCGAAAGGCAAAGGCGUGAGGCGUAUGGAAAGCUGCGGCAAGUACAGAAGUCCGUGAAGCCAGCUUCCAAGAAAAGCUUCUAGUGAUAAUCAUACAGUAACCCGUACCGAAAAUGGACACACAUGGGUGAGGAGAGAAUCCUAAGGUGAGCGAGAGAACUAUAGCUAAGGAACUCUGCAAAAUGACUCCGUAACUUAGGGAUAAGGAGUGCUCAUAGAGAUAUGAGCCGCAGUGAAACGGCCCAAGCGACUGUUUACCAAAAACACAGCUCUAUGCUAAGUCGAAAGACGACGUAUAUGGGGUGACGCCUGCCCGGUGCUGGAAGGUUAAGAGGAUGUGUCAGCGCAAGCGAAGCAUUGAAUUGAAGCCCCAGUAAACGGCGGCCGUAACUAUAACGGUCCUAAGGUAGCGAAAUUCCUUGUCAGGUAAGUUCUGACCCGCACGAAAGGCGUAACGAUUUGGGCGCUGUCUCAGCUGUAGACUCGGUGAAGUCUUAGUACCUGUGAAGAUGCAGGUUACCCGCGACUAGACGGAAAGACCCCAUGGAGCUUUACUGUAGCUUGAUAUUGGACUUUGAUGCAAGAUGUACAGGAUAGGUAGGAGACUGAGAGACAUGCACGCCAGUGUGUGAGGAGUCAAUGUUGGGAUACUACUCUUCUUGUAUUGGAGUUCUAACCGGAUGCCAUGGAACUGGCAACGGGACAGUGUCAGGUGGGCAGUUUGACUGGGGCGGUCGCCUCCCAAAGAGUAACGGAGGCGCCCAAAGAUACCCUCAGCUUGGAUGGAAAUCAAGCGCAGAGUGCAAAGGCAUAAGGGUGUUUGACUGCGAGACCUACAAGUCGAGCAGGGACGAAAGUCGGGCUUAGUGAUCCGGCGGUGCUGAAUGGAAAGGCCGUCGCUCAACGGAUAAAAGCUACCCUGGGGAUAACAGGCUGAUCUCCCCCAA